Molecule: ribosomal RNA, 254 nt
Filed under: uncultured bacterium
Lineage: Bacteria
Description: partial 16S ribosomal RNA
Rfam family: Bacterial small subunit ribosomal RNA
Source: RNAcentral
UACGGAGGGAGCUAGCGUUGUUCGGAAUUACUGGGCGUAAAGCGCGUGUAGGCGGCAGUGCAAGUCGGGUGUGAAAGCCCUCAGCUCAACUGAGGAAGUGCGCCCGAAACUGCAUUGCUUGAGUACCGGAGAGGAUGGUGGAAUUCCCGAAGUAGAGGUGAAAAUUCGUAGAUAUCGGGAGGAACACCGGUGGCGAAGGCGACCAUCUGGACGGAUACUGACGCUGAGACGCGAAAGCGUGGGUAGCAAAGAGA